GGUCAGUAGAUCAGUGGUAGAAUGCCAGCCAAACAUGCAUGAGGCCCUGGGUUCAAUCCUCAGCACCA
RNAcentral lists this transfer RNA (68 nucleotides) under Marmota monax (woodchuck). RNAcentral's name for it is "tRNA.Val". Lineage: Eukaryota; Metazoa; Chordata; Mammalia; Rodentia; Sciuridae. The record is from RNAcentral.